AGCUCCAAUAGCGUAUAUUAAAGUUGUUGCAGUUAAAAAGCUCGUAGUUGAACCUCGGGUUCCGCUGAAAGGUCUCUCUACGGAGCAGUACUUUUAGGCGGUUCCUUUCCUUCUGGAGAACUAGUGUGGGAUUCAUUUCUCGCGCUAGGGAACCAGGACUUUUACUUUGAAAAAAUUAGAGUGUUUAAAGCAGGCAAUCGCUUGAAUACAUUAGCAUGGAAUAAUAAAAUAGGACUUUGGUUUUAUUUUGUUGGUUUUCAAGACCAAGGUAAUGAUUAAUAGGGACAGUUGGGGGCAUUAGUAUUUAGCCGUCAGAGGUGAAAUUCUUGGAUUGGCUAAAGACUAACUUCUGCGAAAGCAUUUGCCAAGGAUGUUUUCAUUA
RNAcentral lists this ribosomal RNA (382 nucleotides) under Rhizophydium sp. Its description in RNAcentral is "partial small subunit ribosomal RNA". It matches the Rfam family "Eukaryotic small subunit ribosomal RNA", at positions 587 to 975 of the family's 1831-position model. The record is from RNAcentral. Lineage: Eukaryota; Fungi; Chytridiomycota; Chytridiomycetes; Rhizophydiales; Rhizophydiaceae.